RNAcentral lists this long non-coding RNA (682 nucleotides) under Capsicum annuum. RNAcentral describes it as "long non-coding RNA (CANN_LNC008974)". The record is from RNAcentral. Lineage: Eukaryota; Viridiplantae; Streptophyta; Magnoliopsida; Solanales; Solanaceae.
UAUUUACCAUCGUUCAUAGCUAUGCCUUCUGGAUAAUUAUAUUCUUCAAGAUUAGUAGGUUCUGUGAUGAGUAGCACCGGAAUCGACCAUCCAUGGGUCUGUUGCAGCUUGGUUACCUGAUAGAAAAUUUACCUUUACCUCUAAAUGAUUGUGAGACUGUGACCUGCAAACAUUUGCAGUAUGACCCUGUCUGUUGCAUAGUUGACAGCGAACAGGGUUACUGGUGCAACGCCCCCAUGCAGGAGCACUUCUACGAUUGUUGGAACGCCAUUGUGAGUUGUUGGGACGACGAGCAGUGCGAUUGCAGGAAUUGGUGGAUCUGUUGUGAGUUGUAAUUGCACUGGUUUCUAUCUUCAAUUCCUCAUGUUUUAGAAAGAGCUCAUAAUCAAUUAGUUUCGAAUACAACUCAUCAUACAAGAUGAUGGAAUCUCUUUCUCAAUUUGCAGUGGAAAUUUCACGAAAUCUGAUACAAGGCCACUCAGAAUUUUCACUACCAACUCAUCGUUUGUGACUGUAGCACCGGCGAUGGCUAGUUCAUUGCAGAUGGAGCGCACUUGAUGGAGAUAAUCAGCAACUGGGAGGGAAUCCUUUGAUAGUCGCGUGAGCUGGUCGCAAAGGCUAAAAAUUUAGGCUACAGUUGCUAGGUGUAGGGAGUGCCAAACAAGUUUAGUAGUGGAGGCAG